AACGAACGCUGGCGGCAUGCCUAACACAUGCAAGUCGAACGAUAAGCCACCUUCGGGUGGUGGACAGUGGCGCACGGGUGAGUAACACGUGGGGACCUGCCUGAUAGUAAGGAAAAACAGUUGGAAACGACUGCUAAUACCUUAUACGCCCUUCGGGGGAAAGAUUUAUCGCUAUCAGAUGGACCCGCGCUAGAUUAGAUAGUUGGUGAGGUAAUGGCUCACCAAGUCUACGAUCUAUAGCUGGUUUGAGAAGAUGAUCAGCCACAUUGGGACUGAGACACGGCCCAGACUCCUACGGGAGGCAGCAGUGGGGAAUAUUGUACAAUGGACGCAAGUCUGAUACAGCAAUGCCGCGUGAGUGAAGAAGGCCUUAGGGUUGUAAAACUCUUUCGCUAGGGAAGAUAAUGACGGUACCUAGUAAAGAAGUCCCGGCUAACUCCG
This 441-nucleotide ribosomal RNA is filed under the name uncultured Kiloniellaceae bacterium. Its description in RNAcentral is "bacterial SSU rRNA". It matches the Rfam family "Bacterial small subunit ribosomal RNA", at positions 29 to 505 of the family's 1533-position model. Lineage: Bacteria; Pseudomonadati; Pseudomonadota; Alphaproteobacteria; Rhodospirillales; Kiloniellaceae. The record is from RNAcentral.